Rhamnusium bicolor is the source of this 72-nucleotide non-coding RNA. Lineage: Eukaryota; Metazoa; Arthropoda; Insecta; Coleoptera; Cerambycidae. The record is from the annotation of a GenBank genome assembly.
AUGUCAGUGGCUUAAUGCUUAGACGUUAGGCUUAAAACCAAGGGGUUCCAGGUUCGAAUCCUGGCUAGCGCA